UAUUUAAAUUCAAUUAUAAAAAUAUAGUUAUUCUAAUACUUGGUCCUUUCGUACUAAAAUAUUAUAAAUUAUUAAAGAUAGAAACCAACCUGGCUUACGCCGGUCUGAACUCAGAUCAUGUAAGAAUUUAAAAGUCGAACAGACUUAACAUUUAAGCAGCUACACCUAAAAAUAUAUCUUAAUCCAACAUCGAGGUCGCAAACUUUUUUAUCGAUAGGAACUCUCCAAAAAAAUUACGCUGUUAUCCCUAAAGUAACUUAAUCUUAUAAUCGUUAUUAACGGAUCAAUUAUUCAUAAAUUAAUGAUUAAAUAAAAUUAAAAGUUCAUUAAAUUUUAAUAUCACCCCAACAAAAUAUUUUAUUUUAAAAAAAUAAACUAAAUCUAAAAAAUUAAUAUAAUACAAAAUAUAAAGAUUUAUAGGGUCUUCUCGUCUUUUAAUAAAAUUUUAGCUUUUUAACUAAAAUAUAAAAUUCUAUAAUAAAUUUAAAUGAAACAGCUUAUACCUCG
This 507-nucleotide ribosomal RNA is filed under the name Phytalmia cervicornis. Its description in RNAcentral is "partial 16S ribosomal RNA". The record is from RNAcentral. Lineage: Eukaryota; Metazoa; Arthropoda; Insecta; Diptera; Tephritidae.